GACGUAGGGCGCGAGCGUUGUCCGGAUUUAUUGGGCGUAAAGAGCUCGUAGGCGGCUUGUCGCGUCGUUUGUGAAAACUCGGGGCUCAACUCCGAGCUUGCAUGCGAUACGGGCAGGCUAGAGUUCGGUAGGGGAGACUGGAAUUCCUGGUGUAGCGGUGAAAUGCGCAGAUAUCAGGAGGAACACCGGUGGCGAAGGCGGGUCUCUGGGCCGAUACUGACGCUGAGGAGCGAAAGCGUGGGGAGCGAACAGG
Molecule: ribosomal RNA, 253 nt
Filed under: uncultured bacterium
Lineage: Bacteria
Description: partial 16S ribosomal RNA
Rfam family: Bacterial small subunit ribosomal RNA
Source: RNAcentral